Long non-coding RNA from Notothenia coriiceps (black rockcod), 843 nucleotides. RefSeq lists it as uncharacterized. The record is from RefSeq and is a predicted model, not a curated record. NCBI's taxonomy places the organism in Eukaryota, Metazoa, Chordata, Actinopteri, Perciformes, Nototheniidae. The transcript has 2 exons.
GCAAGGGUUGACUCAAGACGGAACACACCGAGACGUAUGGUGUCAGGCUGGGAAUCACACACCGAGAGGAAGUUCAAAAUCCAGCCAGGUGGAGGACUGGAAAUCCAAGAAUCAGAUCCUGAGGAACCUCCUACGACAGCACGGCAUUGUGGGAUCAUCCAGCACAGACCCCCAGUGAGAACCCUGAUGCCCCGGGGUAUUUGAAGACAACCGCGUAUGGGCCAAAAGAGUACUUGAAAUGCUUUGAGAUACUUUAUUUGUGAUCGAGAGUGCAUGAAAACAAUUGAAUAUGGUCAUUGGUAUUCAAAUCCAGCAUCACUGCAUCAUGAAAUCUUUGAAUAUUAUCUUAAAUGCUUUUUACAACAUUGAAAUGUAAAGAAUGUAAUUGAAAGUCAUCAGUCAAACAAAGCCCUUGUAGAAUGCCUUCCUCCACAAACAUUAUGAUUAACCUCCAGUACAGUAAGCUCCAAAACAUGACCAGCUACUCAUGUCACUUUUUUUUUAACUUCUGCAGUACCGUGCUUCUCUGCAUCAAAUGCACUCAUGUUAAUGUAUCAUUGUAUCCAUGCUUUGACUUGUUUUGAUCUAAUCAAUAUCACUAAGACCAGAUGAUACCAACUUCAUAGUUCAGCUCUUUGCUUUGUAUUUUUGUACGUUUCAUAAAACCUUACUGGGGACAAUAAUUUAAUUGCUACCAUUUAACCUAAUAAAGUAACAGAGGUUGGUUAGCUUUUCAUUGUAGGUAGGCUAUGUAUGUCUUUAUAAUAAAAGGAAAAAGCAAAUAAUAUACUGUACGUACAUAAGCCACUGUUUAUUAAAGGCGGUAAAUUGGUUAAAAUAUGA